UACGUAGGAGGCGAGCGUUGUCCGGAUUUACUGGGCGUAAAGCGUGCGCAGGCGGUUUUGUAAGCCAGAUGUGAAAGCCCCGGGCUUAACCUGGGAAUGGCAUUUGGGACUGCAAGGCUUGAGUGCGGCAGAGGAGACUGGAAUUCCUGGUGUAGCAGUGAAAUGCGUAGAUAUCAGGAGGAAUACCGAUGGCGAAGGCAGGUCUCUGGGCUGACACUGACGCUCAUGCACGAAAGCGUGGGGAGCAAACAGG
Molecule: ribosomal RNA, 253 nt
Filed under: uncultured bacterium
Lineage: Bacteria
Description: partial 16S ribosomal RNA
Rfam family: Bacterial small subunit ribosomal RNA
Source: RNAcentral